RNAcentral lists this ribosomal RNA (3241 nucleotides) under Triticum aestivum (bread wheat). RNAcentral describes it as "partial small subunit ribosomal RNA". The record is from RNAcentral. Lineage: Eukaryota; Viridiplantae; Streptophyta; Magnoliopsida; Poales; Poaceae.
CGGUGUCUUCAAGUUAAAUCGGAAAAAAUCUUGUUCAAGUCAAAUCGGAUAACACAUAAUAAAAGUGUUAGACUUCGACACUCAUAAAGUAGCGUAGAUAUAUGUCCGGAUUAAUCAUCAUGAUCAUGAUCAAAAGAACUGCACAAGGGUAGGCGUGGCAGGUAGCGCUUUAUUUCCCGUGUAUUAUAGAGGGUGCGCUAGGUUCGUGUGCCCAAUUGAGUGUCGAAGUCUAGGCUGGGCUGCUCGUGCUGCGGACGGCCUCAGGUACCGCCGCGGCCGCUCGGCGGCGGCGCCCAGGAGGACCCCGGCGAGCACCGGCGACGAGAAGCAGCGGUAGGAGCGGGAGGUGAGCGACCGGUAGAUGGAUAAGUGCGCGCCGAAGGAGGAGUGGGCGUGGCUCGAGCUGGAGGUGUCGGUGGCCCUGCUGGCGUGGCCGCAGAGGGGGCCCACGAGGAGGACCGGGGUCGGUCGGAAUCUGGCGGAGCAUUAGCAGCAGGAGCUGCGGGAGUCCAAGCUAAAGCACCGUGGCUCAUGUAAGAAACUUCUCUUCGUCGGUACCUACCUGUUCAACGUCCAGGACGUCUUCGACCGACGACUGCUCUUCUUGAGACGAUCCUAGAAGUUUCGAGACCGACUGGGUGGCUGGUGGUCGGAAGUUGCAGAAUUCCGAGAGUGUUGCCCACCAGAGGGAUGGAAAUAACUACAGCCGUUAUCGAAACCUCGAGGUCGUUAUCACCUUCUGUUAUAUUACGUAGUCGACUAGUUUUUACCUUUCUCCCAUCAGUACUACCCUCUACUAUGUACCUGUGUCAAUAUGGGUCUCGUGAAGUUGUUCAGUAAAGGUAUGGGAAGAAAAUUACAAUUUCUAGAGCUGUGCCAUCUGUUACCACAAUAACUGGUGAACGAAGGAAGUGACGUGCUUUUACUAACCCUGCAAGAAUAACGUGUAAAGGAACCACACCUGGUACGUCCCGUAUAUAAGCCACAACUGAGAUGGGGCUACUAGGUCUUCAACCUCGUUAUGUUAGUUUAGGAUCUCCUACAUUAACUGUGUAACUUUUCGGAUAGUUGUGGACCACCAGGGGUACUUUUAUGAAAUGAGGAACAUUACCCUCUAGUACCGGUUUGGGAUUUACCACUGGUACCUCCUCCUUGACGACUUCUCCAACUUCGUAGAGACAAACGUACCUCAGGUUUCUGUGGUGGGCUACGACAGAAUAGACAAGAACCACUUUUAAGUACGUUAAAACUAGACGUACCCUUUCUUCACACGCAGUCGUGAUACGUCGUCGAACUAAAACGUCAUUGACAUAGUCGUGAUGAGCCAUAUGGAAAAGGAAAACCUUCGUAACCUGCACAUUUGGGUCUUAACAUACGAAACUCACGACCCUGUACCCUAUUAGUUUACUGCCCAUAAUUACGUACGUGCGGUGCCCUACUGGAUCUUCGCACCUUUUACUCUAUACGACUUCGGGAAACACAUUUAUCAACCGUCCAUUUCUCUAUGUAACUAGUUAUAAGACCAUCAAGAUAGUAACCUAAAAGUCGACUUAUGGAUGUGGUACAACUCCUCGACAUAAGUUUUCGAGUCCGCUUGACCAGUCUCCAAAACUUCAGAUGUACGGGUAGCCUUUGUCGAUUCCCUCUUCUUAAAUUCCUCUCGCGUUCAAGACGAGACGUCAACGUUUAACUACGUAUGAGAUCGAAGAACCUUUCGAAACGUUUCGAACGAGCGAGACGAACCUGCCUCAAACUAAAUACCAACUACCCGUGACCAGAAAAUGAAUACUAUGACAGUCAAUAGUGAGUCCGUAUGUAUGAACACUCCGACUUACGACAUACAGUUGGUAGUCUAGUCCUUACACGAUCAAGUUCCUAGUAGGGGUUUAAUAAGAAACGAAAAUGUAACCAGUGCUAAGCUCGUCGCUCAAAUGAUAGGUUGUCAAUAUAUAACCGUCUUCCAUCUCAAUGUUUGAAAGAAAACCGGUGCUCAACGUAACGGUCACACACCUCGAGCCGGUGUUUGCCCUUGAAGUGGUAUCUUCUCAAAUAAAAGGAAGAAGAUUUAUAAAAACGUGUUAAACCUUAACUCGAACCCUACAGUUUUGUUUAACGACCCGGUUGACAAUGUUUUCUGGUGGGUCACUCGUAGCAAACACUGUAAAAACCAAGGUCAAAAACGUUACAGAGGUACCUAUAUAAGGGGUAGUAUAGAGAACGGUACCACUGGACGUAACAUAAUUUCGAGUAGUGGAUACGCCAGGUAGUCUCCAAGAACUUCAUGAAGUAAUACACACGUUGGUAGAACUCGAUAUGUAAAUAUCGUUUAAUAACCCGAAGGCUUUCAUGAAAUGACAGAGUAUGAUUUCGACAAGUUCUUUAACCUUCUUCAAACCGAGGAGCGAAACAAAUACGAUAACCUCCAAACAGUAACCAUUAUAGACACGAAACCGCUAACAAACGGGGUCAACUAAGAAACUUCAAGUUGUUUUCCUAUUGAUCAAAUAGUCGACGGUACGACACAAGUACCUCGGGUUGAUAGAACUACAACAACCCUUCCGUUCCACGAAAACAUCGCAAUUAAACGUAGUGACCUCGAACCACGUAUUAUUACAAAGUCGUCUUUAUAGUCUUUCUGAACUUUGAACUACGUUGUCCCUCAACACAACGAUUGGGACAUAGUCAUUGUGUUACCUCGGAAGAACGUCAAACAGAUAAGAUAGACUGACCAGUGACCACAUGGAAACUACCGGAAGCGAUACCACGACGUAAGUAACCCAAACUGUUAAAGGUAUAGUAAGCAGUUCCCAAAGAAGAAAGAUAGCUAUGGAAACCACAAAGAGUGUAGGACGGUCAAGAAUCAGAAGGUAAAUAACGGUAGGUGACAAUAUUAUGACGUAACUUCUUUUCGUUCCACUUCCUACAGUGGUAGUUAUAAGAUUAUGUCCAGGUAAACUACAUACCAGAUUAAUGUCGAUAGUGAUGCUGUCAAUGUUAGCAUACGCAGUGCUAAGUUUCCGCAGUGAACUACCACACCCCAAACAAACGUGGCUUUAUACAUAAACUGCGCUAACCCGAAGAGGAUUGUCUGAACGAUUAAACAGAGCAAAGAAACAUGAUGUNNNNNNNNNNNNNNNNNNNNNNNNNNNNNNNNNNAAAACGAAGAACCCUGUAUAUACGACAUGUAAAAGCACUCAUGUGACGUUUAACCGCGUUUUAAUACAUGUGACUCAAUCCAAUU